Molecule: ribosomal RNA, 271 nt
Filed under: unidentified marine bacterioplankton
Lineage: Bacteria
Also listed under: 1 other name
Description: partial 16S ribosomal RNA
Rfam family: Bacterial small subunit ribosomal RNA
Source: RNAcentral
AACGCGAAAGCGGGGCAACCCGCAAGUAGAGUGGCGAACGGGUGAGUAAUGCAUCGGAACAUAUCCAGUAGCGGGGGAUAACCUGUCGAAAGAUAGGCUAAUACCGCAUACGACCUACGGGUGAAAGCGGAGGACCGCAAGGCUUCGCACUAUUGGAGUGGCCGAUGUCGGAUUAGCUAGUUGGUGAGGUAAAAGCUCACCAAGGCGACGAUCCGUAGCUGGUCUGAGAGGACGACCAGCCACACUGGAACUGAGACACGGUCCAGACUCC